CUUUUACUUAAAAGAUGCAGCUGAGCAAAAUUUGGGUAUUUUUAUUACAGUGGCAUACAUCAGAUUUACAAAAUACCUGGUAUAAACGCAACAUGCAUGUCAACAAUGGAAAAAAUAAAUAAAUAAAUUUGACAUAUACUGUGAAAAAGAUGACACAAUGUACACCAAUAUACACACACUAUUCACCAUAUUAAUUACCCUAGAAUGAAUACUGCAACGUGUAUGUAAAAAAUGCAAAAAUAUUUUUUUUCCCGCAAAACAUAAAAUAACCUUUUGAAAACAUUGUGGCGCAUUAAGGCACAAUAUACCCUAUAUGAGAUACUUUGGAAUGUCUAUUUUCACAAAUGGUAGGUGUUACAAAUGCUGGUAGUUAGGGUACCUAAUCCUCUCAAACUGCUGAGCCUUAGUGAUUAUAGCUGCAGUCCGGGUGUAGAUACGAAUAGUUCCAGACGAAUGCAGCUUCCAAGAAGUUUCUCUAGUUAUCCAAACAUGAGCCUAGACUUCAUGAAGGUACAACAGGAAUUAUGGUUUAUUGAUGCCACACUUUUAUGCAAGUCCCCAUGCAAGCAGACCUCCCACCUGGACCUUGUGGGGCAUCAGGACACAAAAGUUACAACCAAUAGCAUUACAUUAACAAUGUGAAACACUCCCACUGCAAACAUACAAUCCCCUCCUCUCUGCCUGUGAGAUAAUUAGGUAAGCUAAUGGAUAACCCAAUUAUCUCCUGGCAGAAAAAACAUUUUCCCAAAAACUUGGAACAUACCCUAAAACACAUGGUAUCCCCAUAAAUAGCCCCCCACAUAUCCUCUGAUAGCCCUGAUCUGGGUGACCAACAUAUUCAAAAAUCACCCUGAUUGGUUCAGGGGUUUUCGAAUUGUAUGGAAGUCUAAUUUUACCGACCGAUCUAUUUUGAUAAAGUCAAAUAAACAAAUGAAAACAUGAAUGGAGCCUACUGGCUCAUAGGAGCGAUUGUUCCCCUUGUUCGUGGGGACUAAACUACCGAACGGCGCUCUCCUAUCUGUUCGUGAAAAUAAAGCAAGCGUUCGUAUGUGUUUAGCGGUGUUCGGGAAGUCGAGUGUCCGAUUUUAGUUCCAGACACUUGACGACCAAGUCCCGCUGCCUCCUUUCGUGCAAACAAGAUGGCUGCCGUUUUCUCUUCCACGCGGCGUUCGACUAUACGAACAGCGGCCACCCAGAAAGAUCGCUCAAUUGACAGUUUCCUUUGUAGAUAAUGAGCCAGGGGGUUGGUCGGUGUUCGGUAGUCUAUCUAACUAACAAAACAUAAAAGUAACGAAUGGCCCUACAAAGUCAUGAAUGAAAAGUCUAUUUUCUUCACAGUAGGCCUUUGUGUUGUUUUUUUUAAAUAAUCAAACUGCUAUAAUGUCCCACAAUGAGACAUAAGCCCAGCAAAUCCAUCAACAUUCUCACUAUAAAACAAAAUAUUGGCAUGUUUUGGCAGUUAAAUUGCUAUGUAAAAGUGUCAAGACAUGGUUAGGUAAAUACCCUGUGAUGUUUACUGAUACUCUGUAAUGUCUACUAAUAAAACUAUAUACUUAUGUGUGGCAAUUUUGCAUUCUGUGAUGGCUAGUAAACUUGGAAGACAAGUAUACCACAUUCUAAAAUCAUUCCAUGUUAAAAUUGUUUUUUUGAUCUGUGACUUCCAAAGAUAAACUUAAAUCUUAUACAUAUACUUCAUCAGGACAAAUAAAUACAUUUAUGUCGAACUACUUUUCUUAAGGUGAACUAACUAUGUACACAUAAUUAUUGCCAAAACGUGUAAUAAGUUAUAAUAAUAUAUAACUGAAAUUGUAUAUAUGUAUAUGUCACGUCAAUAUCAAGCUAUUACUUUUUUUAAAUGGUAUAUGCUAUGUGCUAUUGUAAUAAAUGAGAAAGAUAAAAGUUGAACACAUGCAUAGCAACCAUGCCAUAAUUACUUUGGUCCUUAAAGGAACACUAUAGGGUCAGGAACACAAAC
Molecule: long non-coding RNA, 1975 nt
Filed under: Pelobates cultripes (western spadefoot toad)
Lineage: Eukaryota; Metazoa; Chordata; Amphibia; Anura; Pelobatidae
Source: RNAcentral